UAGGGCGCAAGCGUUGUCCGGAUUUAUUGGGCGUAAAGAGCUCGUAGGCGGCUUGUCGCGUCGACUGUGAAAACCCGCAGCUUAACUGCGGGACUGCAGUCGAUACGGGCAGGCUAGAGUUCGGUAGGGGAGACUGGAAUUCCUGGUGUAGCGGUGAAAUGCGCAGAUAUCAGGAGGAACACCGGUGGCGAAGGCGGGUCUCUGGGCCGAUACUGACGCUGAGGAGCGAAAGCGUGGGGAGCGAACAGG
This 249-nucleotide ribosomal RNA is filed under the name uncultured bacterium. Its description in RNAcentral is "partial 16S ribosomal RNA". It matches the Rfam family "Bacterial small subunit ribosomal RNA", at positions 528 to 776 of the family's 1533-position model. The record is from RNAcentral.